AACGAACGCUGGCGGCAUGCCUAACACAUGCAAGUCGAACGAGACCUUCGGGUCUAGUGGCGCACGGGUGCGUAACGCGUGGGAACCUGCCCUUAGGUUCGGAAUAACUCCCCGAAAGGGGUGCUAAUACCGGAUAAUGUCUUCGGACCAAAGAGUUAUCGCCUUUGGAUGGGCCCGCGUUGGAUUAGCUAGUUGGUAGGGUAAAAGCCUACCAAGGCGACGAUCCAUAGCUGGUCUGAGAGGAUGAUCAGCCACACUGGGACUGAGACACGGCCCAGACUCCUACGGGAGGAAGCAGUGGGGAAUCUUGGACAAUGGGCUAAAGGCUGAUCCAGCAAUGCCGCGUGAGUGAUGAAGGCCUUAGGGUUGUAAAGCUCUUUUACCCGGGAAGAUAAUGACAGUACCGGGAGAAUAAGCUACGGAUAACUCCGUG
RNAcentral lists this ribosomal RNA (433 nucleotides) under uncultured bacterium. Its description in RNAcentral is "partial 16S ribosomal RNA". It matches the Rfam family "Bacterial small subunit ribosomal RNA", at positions 29 to 507 of the family's 1533-position model. The record is from RNAcentral.